CCUCUCCUGAGUUACGAGCUGCUCCUCAGUCCUAAGCUCCAGCCUGCUCCCAGAUGGGUGAGGAGACCAUUCCCAACAAUGGGAGUGUGGUAAAGGAGACUGGAAAUUAGCAGUGGGCAAACUGGACCCAGGAAAGGGAAUGAAGGCUGAAGAUUUUGGGAAGCUGUGCGUGACACUGGUGAAGCAGGGGCCAGAAGCAGUGAACUAAGGAUAUUCAGCUGAAGUAGUUCAGGCAGAGAUAGCUGAACUUUUUACUGCGCCUAUUUAAACAGAGAGGCCUGAACCGGAGAUUAGCUAUUUAUCAGCUGCAUGAUGGAAUGAGAAAUAGCUGCAACAUAUUUCCAUAUUUGGACACAAAGCAAGCUGAACCUACUAAAUGAAAAGUCUGCAUGGGGACGGACAGGCAAGCUGGUCAAGACGAACGGCUUUUUUACCAGAACUAAUUAAGCUAGGAGACAACAUGGAUUUCUCAAAUAAAUCUCACCCGUAUUUCAGAGGAGCACUGGGUGGAUGGAACUGACAGGUUGGCCAAAGCACUCUGUGAAGAUCACUGCUAUUAUUCAAUUGUGUUAGUAUCUCACUUGCACACAGAGUUUAUAAACCAGAAUUAAAG
RNAcentral lists this long non-coding RNA (613 nucleotides) under Gallus gallus (chicken). Its description in RNAcentral is "long non-coding RNA NONGGAT003723". Lineage: Eukaryota; Metazoa; Chordata; Aves; Galliformes; Phasianidae. The record is from RNAcentral.